AAUAGAUACCCAGGUAGUCCACGCCGUAAACGAUGAGUGCUAAGUGUUAGAGGGUUUCCGCCCUUUAGUGCUGCAGCAAACGCAUUAAGCACUCCGCCUGGGGAGUACGGUCGCAAGACUGAAACUCAAAGGAAUUGACGGGGGCCCGCACAAGCGGUGGAGCAUGUGGUUUAAUUCGAAGCAACGCGAAGAACCUUACCAGGUCUUGACAUCCUUAUGACUCCUCUAGAGAUAGAGCUUUCCCUUCGGGGACAUAAGUGACAGGUGGUGCGUGGUUGUCGUCAGCUCGUGUCGUGAGAUGUUGGGUUAAGUCCCGCAACGAGCGCAACCCUUGAUCUUAGUUGCCAGCAUUCAGUUGGGCACUCUAAGGUGACUGCCGGUGACAAACCGGAGGAAGGUGGGGAUGACGUCAAAUCAUCAUGCCCCUUAUGACCUGGGCUACACACGUGCUACAAUGGAUGGUACAAAGGGUAGCGAGACCGCGAGGUUUAGCCAAUCCCAUAAAACCAUUCUCAGUUCGGAUUGCAGG
Molecule: ribosomal RNA, 529 nt
Filed under: uncultured bacterium
Lineage: Bacteria
Description: bacterial SSU rRNA
Rfam family: Bacterial small subunit ribosomal RNA
Source: RNAcentral